CUUGUUUUCAGGUCUCAGAGCUCAGGUGGAGAAAGUUAAAUACUGCAGUGGUAAUCUUUUUCUUUUCUUUUCCUGGGCUAACGUUCUUUGAAACUAUUGCUGGAGCGCUGGGCUUUUUGGGAAAACAAGGGAGCCUUAGUAAAGGUAAAGGGACCCCUGACCAUUAGGUCCAGUCGUGGCCGACUCUGGGGUUGCAGCGCUCAUCUCGCUUUAUUGGCCGAGGGAGCUGGCGUACAGCUUCCGGGUCAUGUGGCCAGCAUGACUAAGCCGCUUCGGGCGAACCAGAGCGGUGCACGGAACCGCCAUUUACCUUCCUGCCGGACUGGUACCUAUUUAUCUACUUGCACUUUGACAUGCUUUUGAACUGCUAGGUUGGCAGGAGCAGGGACUGAGCAACGGGAGCUCACCCCGUCACGGGGAUUCGAGCCACCGACCUUCUGAUCAGCAAGUCCUAGGCUCUGUGGUUUAACCCACAGUGCCACCCGUGUCCCAAGAGCCUUAUGGCACUUAAAAAAACUAUGGGUGAGAUUCACGUAAUGAGCCUUGUCAGCAGAAGUCCCACACAAGGACUUCAAUGGGGCAACGGGGCUUUGCCCCUUCUUCCCCUGUGCAUCCCCCAAAAUUGAGCAGGGUGCAAGGAGGGAUAAUCCUGAACAGCAAAUGGAAAUGCUUGUGCAGAUGGAACAAUUAGAAGCGCACAACAUUUGAUUACCCCCCCCCCUAAGAAAUUGUGGCAUAAGCCAGCGGGUAAUGAACAUGUUGCCUGGCAGCUAUUGGGACAUUUCUUAUCCCCGUCCCCUGGCCAUGCUACCUGAUGGCAGCUGUAGUCCAAUGGCAUCUGGAGGGACUGAGGCUCCCUAUAAGCUGUUGUGGACCAGAGUGCGCCUCAUCAGAUGCCAGAAAUGUUAUCCUAAGACGGCAAGCGCGUGCACACACACUCAUUGUGUUCCGUGGAGCUUUUACCCAAAUAAAUAGGCAUUGAGUUACAGUGAAGUCCUUAUUUUAUUCAGCAUUCUUCAGUUACAAUGCAGAUUUCAUCCCUCAGUGGUAGCUUUGCAAGGGAGAGCGCGGGAGAAAUUGCAUUUCCAAAAGAUCUUCCACUUUUUAAAAACGUUAUUUAAUAGAUGUUUCAUGUUCCUUUCAGAUAUACGUGAACCAAAUCCUGUAUUACAAUACUGUUCCUUGCCUGCCUUUUCCACAUGUAAAAUUACCAUAUGACUAGUGCCUUUUAAAUAGCUAGCUAUAUGGAACUGGCGGAAAUGACUGGCAGAAUCCGUGACCAGGGAGAAGAGUCGGUGGAGGAAGAUUGGAAGAAAUUCAAAGAUUAUCUACAGAAACACUGCAAAAUUAAAGAAUGUUAGAGUGAUGUUGGAUUGAAAAUAAGUGGUUUCCAGCUGUACAGGAUUUAAAGUUAUAGAUAGAUUAAGAUUAAAGAUUAGGAUUAAAGAAGUUUAAGGAAAUGGAAAUUUGGUACUUAAGAGGUAAAAUUUUAAUGCUAUAUUACAUUAAGAUUAAAGAUUGGGAUUAAAAAAAGUGGAAAAGAAAUUGCUGGACAAACAAUUUGGACUGGAAUAUAAAAGAGGGAGGUAUGAGGAGGUCCAGAAAAUAAGUAAAUUUAAAAACGGAAAUGAAAAGGUGAUAUUGUUUUUAAUUGUUCUGCUUCUUUUUUUGUUUUUUGUUCUCUGUGUUUUUUUUUUCUUUUUUGGAAUAUGUACUGUGUAUUUGUGUAUUUCUUUUUUAUGUUUUUCUGUUUAACUUUUUACUGAAACCUUAAUAAAAAUCAUUUUAAAAAAUAAAUAAAUAAAUAAAUAGCUAUAGUGGCUAAGUUCACAUGUUUAUCAUAAGCUAGGCUUAAUAAACAGCAAUGAGAAUUGGUAGCAUGCUGGUGAGUGAAGCCUAUUUACUUCUUCCUUCAUGUGAUUGAGUAAACAAACCAGGAAUCACUUCCUGUGGUGUCCAAGCUGGGAUUUUGUUGCUCCCCAAAAGGUCAGAUUUGUAAGCCAACAACCUCUGUUUAAAAGCUGUUUUUUUUUCUAAUCCUGCCUUAUUUGGAUGCAACAAACCAGAAUUUCAGGUUUGGACAUUAAGCAAAGUUCUCCACUCUAACUAGUUGCAUGAGUUAACUACAGCUCCCAUUCUCCUUGACCAUUUGUCCUGCUUCCUGGGGCAGUUGUAGUUCAGCAAAAUCUGGAGAAGCAAAGGCUCUCCACAUCUAACAUUGUUGGCUGACAUCCGAUAGGUCACAUUUAACGUUGUGGUUUAUUAAACCAGGAUUCAUGGCUUGUGUGUGAACAUACCCAUUAAGUACACAGGCUUCUAUUCUGAGUUUGCUCCUGCUGACAGAAAAGGAGACAGCUUUCACCAAUUUCCCCUCCCCUUGCGGCCCCUUGGAAAUCUGUUCUCUAAGGUUGAACGACCCUCCAAAAUAUUGCAGCAGGCUGGAGGGAAAUAUUAUAUCGAAAGCUGUUUUCUUCUUCCACCAGCAGGAUUCUCUGCUGGAUCUAAGGCAUGGGUAGGCAAACUAAGGCCCAGGGGCUGGAUCUGGCCCAAUCACCUUCUAAAUCCGGCCUGUGUACGGUCUGGGAAUCAGCAUGUUUUCAUGUGAGUAGAAUGAGUGCUUUUAUUUAAAAUGCAUCUCUGGGGUAUUUGUGGGGCAUAGAAAUUCAUAUAUAUAUUUUUCCAAAAUAGAGUCCAGCUCCCCCACAAGGUCUGAGGGACAGUCUGCUGAAGGGACAGUCGGCCCCCUGCUGAAAAAGUUUGCUGACCCCUGAUCUAAGGCUUCCAUGAAUGAAGAGUCUUUCCAUUUGCAGAAGGCACACUUACAACCAAAGCC
This is a non-coding RNA of Podarcis lilfordi (Lilford's wall lizard), 2833 nucleotides long. NCBI's taxonomy places the organism in Eukaryota, Metazoa, Chordata, Lepidosauria, Squamata, Lacertidae. The record is from the annotation of a GenBank genome assembly.